UACGGAGGGGGCUAGCGUUGUUCGGAAUUACUGGGCGUAAAGCGCACGUAGGCGGCUUUGCAAGUUAGAGGUGAAAGCCCGGGGCUCAACUCCGGAAUUGCCUUUAAAACUGCAUCGCUAGAAUUGUGGAGAGGUAAGUGGAAUUCCGAGUGUAGAGGUGAAAUUCGUAGAUAUUCGCAAGAACACCCGUGGCGAAGGCGGCUCUCUGGUACGUGACUGACGCUGAGACGCGAAAGCGUGGGGAGCAAACAGG
Molecule: ribosomal RNA, 253 nt
Filed under: uncultured bacterium
Lineage: Bacteria
Description: partial 16S ribosomal RNA
Rfam family: Bacterial small subunit ribosomal RNA
Source: RNAcentral